GCGAGUAUAGCUCAGUUGGUUAGAGCGCUGCCUUCACACGGCAGAGGUCCUCAGUUCGAAUCUGAGUACUCGCACCA
RNAcentral lists this transfer RNA (77 nucleotides) under Deltaproteobacteria bacterium. RNAcentral describes it as "tRNA-Val". It matches the Rfam family "tRNA". From Rfam's summary of the family: Transfer RNA (tRNA) molecules are approximately 80 nucleotides in length. Their secondary structure includes four short double-helical elements and three loops (D, anti-codon, and T loops). Further hydrogen bonds mediate the characteristic L-shaped molecular structure. tRNAs have two regions of fundamental functional importance: the anti-codon, which is responsible for specific mRNA codon recognition, and the 3' end, to which the tRNAs corresponding amino acid is attached (by aminoacyl-tRNA synthetases). tRNAs cope with the degeneracy of the genetic code in two manners: having more than one tRNA (with a specific anti-codon) for a particular amino acid; and 'wobble' base-pairing, i.e. permitting non-standard base-pairing at the 3rd anti-codon position. Lineage: Bacteria; Pseudomonadati; Myxococcota; Myxococcia. The record is from RNAcentral.